Molecule: unclassified non-coding RNA, 324 nt
Organism: Callithrix jacchus (white-tufted-ear marmoset)
Lineage: Eukaryota; Metazoa; Chordata; Mammalia; Primates; Cebidae
Rfam family: Metazoan signal recognition particle RNA
About the family: The signal recognition particle (SRP) is a universally conserved ribonucleoprotein. It is involved in the co-translational targeting of proteins to membranes.
Source: Ensembl
GCCGGGCACCGUGGCUCAUGUUUGUAACCCCAGCACUUUGGGAGGCUGAGGAGGGCGGAUCACCUGAGGUCAGGAGUUUGAGACCAGCCUGACCAAUAUGCUGAAACCCUGUCUUUAAAAAAAUAAUAAUAAUAACAAAUGAAGUUUGGCAUCAAUAUGGUGACCUCCUGGGCGUGGGGGACCACGAGGUUGCCUAAGGAGGGGUGAACCAGCCCAGGUCAGAAACGGAGCAGGUCAAAACUCCCAUGCUGGUCAGUAGUGGGAUCGUGCCUGUGAAUAGCCACUACACUCCAGCCUGGGCCACAUAGCGAGACCCCGUCUCUA